This 253-nucleotide ribosomal RNA is filed under the name uncultured bacterium. Its description in RNAcentral is "partial 16S ribosomal RNA". It matches the Rfam family "Bacterial small subunit ribosomal RNA", at positions 524 to 776 of the family's 1533-position model. The record is from RNAcentral.
UACGUAGGGUGCGAGCGUUAAUCGGAAUUACUGGGCGUAAAGCGUGCGUAGGCGGUUUCUUAAGUCUGCUGUGAAAGCCCUGGGCUCAACCUGGGAAUGGCGGUGGAUACUGAGAAGCUGGAGUACGGUAGAGGAAGGUGGAAUUCCCGGUGUAGCGGUGAAAUGCGUAGAGAUCGGGAGGAACAUCAGUGGCGAAGGCGGCCUUCUGGACCAGUACUGACGCUGAGGCACGAAAGCGUGGGGAGCAAACAGG